CCGGACCCGGGCGCCCCAGGCGUAAUCCCUGGGGAGCAACCAGGCAUCUUCCUCCACGCACUUGGACUCAGGCUUUCGAUGCCCAUGGGCAAGUGUGCAGUUUUCCAAGCCCUCGGCCCAAGAAGAGACUUCUUGUUUUCACAAUACUGGUUUCCCUGGUGUGACAUGGAGGAAGUGUGACAGCGAGGAAGUGGCAGGGCGGGCAGGGAACCUGAGGGCUGCAGGCUCCUAUUCCUCCGUGAGAAGCCAAGUGAAUAAAACCCGCGUUCUACAACGGGAGUGAAAAGUUAAUCAAAAUCGGCAAGAAGCACAGAAAUCGAGUUGCUUGAAAAUCUCUGUCUUCCCGAGGGCCCAGCUGGCCACCGUGGAGCCUCCGUGAGCAGCAGAAAGGUGCCGUUUCCUCUGGCGUCAGCCGACCCUCCCCUGCCUGGGGGGGCCUCGCCAGCACAACACACGCGAGUCCAUUUCAAGAUGAGGAGAGUGAAGACAAAGAUGACGACCCUGACCGAGGUCACCCAGGGGAGAAGUGGCACAGACAGGACUCGCACCCAAGAGCCCGAUGUCACAGCCCGUGCUCUGCGUCACACAGAACAAGUGGCCCCUCGGGGCUCUGUGUGCAGCCACUGAGAGUCACCCACUGAGGCCAAUUCCAGGACGUGACAAACCACACGGCGAGGAGAGAAAAAGCAAGCAGGCUAGGAAACGGGCGAUGUUGCUUCCAAUUCUCUCACACACAUGCGAAAAGAUACCCCAGAGACGUAUACUAAAAAGCUAGCAGUGGUUACUGUUGAGAAGAAAAAUUAAAGUUGACUUUUAUUAUGUUU
Delphinapterus leucas (beluga whale) is the source of this 824-nucleotide non-coding RNA. NCBI's taxonomy places the organism in Eukaryota, Metazoa, Chordata, Mammalia, Artiodactyla, Monodontidae. The record is from RefSeq and is a predicted model, not a curated record.